Solanum dulcamara is the source of this 3118-nucleotide RNA transcript. It is a transcript of the gene named F-box protein At4g00755-like, with no coding region annotated. NCBI's taxonomy places the organism in Eukaryota, Viridiplantae, Streptophyta, Magnoliopsida, Solanales, Solanaceae. The record is from RefSeq and is a predicted model, not a curated record. The transcript has 6 exons.
CUGCUUUUGUUGAAACAUGAUUCCAAUCUAGAAUAUGAAGUUCGAGGUUUAAAGUUUUAAUUUUUGGAAAUGAUAAUAAGUUAAUUUCCUUGUUUGUUUCCCAUUUGUGCAAUUUUCUGGGCUCUACCCACUGAUAAAUGGUUCAUAGAGGUUGAAGUUAGUCUUUUGAUAAAUCAUUGUAUGACUGUUGUCGGUGUAUCCAAAACCUAUGGGCCCUGAAUUUUGGGAUAAAUAAAAAAAAUUGGCAACUAAUAAAGAGGGAGAUAGAUAGAUACAUAGAUUCAAGACAAUCUACCAUUUGUUCUUCAAAAUUGAAAGUCUUGCUUGAUUUUAUUUUUUGGUUCAGCAUACGUUGCAAGAAGACAAAUGACAAGCCGCACCUGUAAUAUAGUUUUGCAAGCACCAGCCAGCUCAUUGCGUUUUUAUAUCUCAACCAACCCUGCAAAAUUCCAUUAUUCAAAUUGUCUCUCAUCAUUAGGAUCCCAAAAAAGAUGUCUUGGGUCUACUAGCUCCAAGCUGAAGAAUAGCUGCCGCUCUUUAACGCCUAGAACUGCAGCAAUGUGCUGUGAUAUUUCUUUUUGGUCCCAAAAUGUGAAUAUGAGGCUUUUCUUGCCCACUCAGUCAAAGGUUCCGGAAAACAGCUGCAAAUUUGGACAGCGAAAUCAUACAUCUGGUGUUUUAUUUAUUGGAUUUUUAGUAUGCUGCUCUGCCUCUGAACCAGUACAUGCUGAAGCAUCAGGAGAAAGUAGGGGAGAUAGCUGUGAUUCCUCAACCACUGGCUAUUCACGUGUAAAGAAGGUCUAUACUGACUAUUCUGUAAUUGGUAUACCUGGAGAGGGAAGAUGUUUAUUUCGUUCUGUUGCUCAUGGUGCUUGUGUAAGGUCAGGGAACCGCGCUCCUGAUGAGAACCUACAGAGGCAAUUAGCAGAUGAAUUGUGGGCCAGAGUGGCUGAUGAAUUUAUAAAGAGGAGAUAAGAGACAGAAUGGUUCAUCGAAGGAGAUUUUAACACAUAUGUUGCCCAAAUAAGGAACUGUCAUGUGUGGGGAGUUGAACCAGAAGUUUUGAUGGCUUCUCAUGUUCUCCAGAUGCCAAUUAGUGUAUACAUGUAUGACCAGGACGCAAGCGGCCUGAUUUCUAUUGCUGAAUACGGGCAAGAAUAUGGCAAGGACAAUCCUAUUAAGGUUCUGUAUCACGGAUUUGGUCAUUAUGAUGCAUUGCACAUUCCCGGGAAGAAAGGACCAAGAUCAAAACUUUAAACUGCAUUUUGAUUAUUAAGGUUUAUCUUGGAGGAGGAGAGAAUGCACAGGCUUUUGAGCUAUGUUAUUAUCUAAAAUGUAACAAGUAGGCUGAAUGUGAAUAGUCAAGAGAUGGGUUUCUGAUUAUGUGCUCUCUAGGAGUUUCCAGGAGGUAGAUGAAAAAGUAUCGGGGAGAGGUGAUAAGACAAGAUAUGACUCAGCUUCAGAUUAUCGAGGACAUGACCUUAGAUAGGAGGGUGUGGAGGACACGUAUUAGGGUAGAAUGUUAAUAGGUAGUGUAGUGUUGCCUUGAGUAGGGUGUUUGUCAGUGUACUAGUUGUAUUACUGUAGUUCUUUUUUUUCAUAUCCAUCAUUAUUGUUUUCAAUACUCUAUCCUAGUAUGUUGUGUAUUGAAUUUCGAUUAUUGUUGUUGUAGUUGUAGCUUUUGGUAGACUUGUACCUCUCCCAUGACUCGCUAUAUUUUCUUCUUUGUAUCUAGAAUUGCUGCAUCUGAGUCGAGGGUCUUUCGGAAACAACCUCUCUACCUUUAUGAGGUUGUGGUAAGGUUUGCGUACAUUGUACCCUCUCCAGACCCCACUUGUGGGAUUUUACUGGGGUUUGGAAUUUUGAGUAAAUUUAUGAAGGCACAUGUUGAUUUUGUGCAAUGGCUUGAAACUGAAGUGUCUCUGAACAUUCUGAUGCGUUUGAAUGAUCCAGCUGAUGUGGUCCGUGCUGCCUCUGUUUCACGCCUUUGGCACCAGUUUGUGGCUACAAAUGGAAUUUCCAAGCAACUGUGUCUGAGAAAGUUUCCGCAGCUUUCUAGCAUUGCACGUAUAACAGAACCAGAUUUGAGAGUAGCAGAAAGAAAAGAAGAGUCUAGCAAUUCCAGUUGGGAGGCUCUAAAAAGAGACCAUAAUGUAUAUGCUUCUCUACUUCAAGAUAUUGAAACAUCAAGCUCAUGCCCUAGUGAUUGCAUAGAAGUACGGACCAUUAUCCAUUUGAAAGUAUUGUGAAUACUCUAGCUCCAUCAGACAGACAUCGAAAUACGCCUUCAUAUUGGUCAAGUAUAGGGCACAGUGAUUCCAAUGCUCCCGAGACGAUAUAUUACAAAUUGAAAGCUGAUCUUUGUUGUAUCACUGAAAUUAACAUACAACCUUUUGAAGUUUAUUUUCAUCGAGCCAGGCCCAUAUUCCCCGCAAAAUCUGUUCGAUUUCGAUUAGGACAUCUCAAAUCCUCAAGAGAUCAGAGUGAUCUCCUGCACUUUCCCCAGGUACAGCCUGCUGAUGACGAUUUUAUAUGGAUGUAUACCUCGGAAGAAUUCCAUAUGAGACAGGAAAACCGCUUGCAGCAGUUCAAGUUACCAGAAUCAGUGCUUUGCAUUGGUGGAUAUCUGCAGAUUGAACUGUUGGGCAGAGGUCAGAGAUGUGAUAUUGACAACUUGUUUUACAUAUGCAUUAGCCAUGUGAAAGUGAGAGGACGACCACUCAGUCCUGCCUUUGGUGUACAGAACAUCGAACUGUCUGGAGACUUUGUGCUCGAGUACAAAAGAGAGGUUCUCUAAUCCAUGUUGCAAAGCUUGUCUAAUAGGAUUCAUCCAAGAUUCCAAUAACAUUCGAACAAAUAGUGCUUGGAAUUACCUGCUGGGUUUGGACAUAUGAAGUGGAAUGAUGGAGGCAAUUUUUAAUAGACCAAAAAGAAAUUUGGUGUGUUUGAUAUGACAGAGAACCUUAUCUGAUAGUUCAUUUGAAAUAGUGAGACAUGAAGUUUCUUCUGGAAUAUAUAUUCCUCCAUUCCAAACACCCUUUGUAACUUUUAACGCUAUGAUUAUCCUUUCAUUUAGUUUUCUACAUUACUUUCCAAUUAAAUACCCUCCAUUUUCGAA